RNAcentral lists this ribosomal RNA (270 nucleotides) under uncultured bacterium. RNAcentral's name for it is "partial 16S ribosomal RNA". It matches the Rfam family "Bacterial small subunit ribosomal RNA", at positions 524 to 791 of the family's 1533-position model. The record is from RNAcentral.
UACGUAGGGGGCGAGCGUUGUCCGGAUUUACUGGGCGUAAAGCGCGUGUAGGCGGCCCGUUAAGUGGGGUGUGAAAGCCCGGGGCUCAACCCCGGGACGCCGCUCCAAACUGGCGGGCUUGAGGACGGAAGAGGGGAGUGGAACUGCGAGUGUAGAGGUGAAAUUCGUAGAUAUUCGCAAGAACACCAGUGGCGAAAGGCGGCUCACUGGCCCGAUACUGACGCUGAGGCACGAAAGCGUGGGGAGCAAACAGGAUUAGAAACCCCCGGU